Molecule: long non-coding RNA, 265 nt
Filed under: Vitis vinifera (wine grape)
Lineage: Eukaryota; Viridiplantae; Streptophyta; Magnoliopsida; Vitales; Vitaceae
Description: long non-coding RNA (VVIN_LNC003964)
Source: RNAcentral
AUCAUAUUUUACCAUCUUUCUCUUCCAUUAAUUUUGGUGUUUCUUCUAUUGAUGUGUCUUCUAAUCCUAAUACGAUUUCCAAUUCACCACCUACCUUUACUUCUUAUUCUUCUCAUGUCAUAAAGCCCCGCUCUUAUCUUAAAGAUUACCAUUUAUAUUCUAUUCAAAUAGUUCUUACUUUACUUCUCAUCCUUUGUCUAAUGUUCUCAGUUAUGACAAACUAACUCCAAACCACUAAGCCUUUGUUUAUGCCAUUUCUUCUCAU